GACGUAGGUGGCGAACGUUAUCCGGAAUUAUUGGGUUUAAAGGGUGCGUAGGUGGGAAAGUAAGUCAGAGGUGAAAGCUAGCAGCUUAACUGUUAAAUUGCCUUUGAUACUGCUUUUCUUGAGUCUAGUUGGCGUUGGCGGAAUGUGACAUGUAGCGGUGAAAUGCGUAGAUAUGUCACAGAACACCGAUCGCGAAGGCAGCUGGCUACGCAUAUAUUGACACUGAGGCUCGAAAGCGUGGGGAUCAAACAGG
Molecule: ribosomal RNA, 253 nt
Filed under: uncultured bacterium
Lineage: Bacteria
Description: partial 16S ribosomal RNA
Rfam family: Bacterial small subunit ribosomal RNA
Source: RNAcentral